This 404-nucleotide ribosomal RNA is filed under the name uncultured bacterium. RNAcentral's name for it is "bacterial SSU rRNA". It matches the Rfam family "Bacterial small subunit ribosomal RNA", at positions 355 to 775 of the family's 1533-position model. The record is from RNAcentral.
UAGGGGAUAUUGCACAAUGGGCGGAAGCCUGAUGCAGCAACGCCGCGUGAGUGAUGAAGGCCCUCGGGUCGUAAAACUCUUUUCAAGAGGAAGAGGAAGGACGGUACUCUUGGAAUAAGCCUCGGCUAACUACGUGCCAGCAGCCGCGGUAACACGUAGGAGGCGAGUGAUAUUCGGAUUUACUGGGCGUAAAGCGCGUGUAGGCGGCUGAUCAAGUUGGAUGUGAAAGCUCCCGGCUUAACUGGGAGAGGACGUUCAAAACUGAACAGCUUGAGUAUGAGAGAGGAAAAUGGAAUUCCGGGUGUAGUGGUGAAAUGCGUAGAUAUCCGGAGGAACACCAGUGGCGAAGGUGAUUUUCUGGCUCAAGACUGACGCUCAGACGCGAAAGCUAGGGUAGCAAACGG